UAAGGAAUAUUGCGCAAUGGGCGAAAGCCUGACGCAGCGACGCCGCGUGGGGGAUGAAGGUCUUCGGAUUGUAAACCCCUUCGGGAGGGAAGCGGUACUCCAGAAGCAGCCACGGCCAACUUCGUGCCAGCAGCCGCGGUAAUACGAAGGUGGCAAGCGUUGUUCGGAUUCACUGGGCGUACAGGGUGUGUAGGCGGUUUGGUAAGCCUUCUGUUAAAGCUUGGGGCCCAACCCGGAAAGCGCAGAGGGUACUGCCAGGCUAGAGGGCGGGAGAGGAGCGCGGAAUUCCCGGUGUAGCGGUGAAAUGCGUAGAGAUCGGGAGGAAGGCCGGUGGCGAAGGCGGCGCUCUGGAACGUACCUGACGCUGAGACACGAAAGCGUGGGGAGCAAACAGGAUUAGAUACCCGUGUAGU
RNAcentral lists this ribosomal RNA (413 nucleotides) under uncultured bacterium. RNAcentral describes it as "bacterial SSU rRNA". It matches the Rfam family "Bacterial small subunit ribosomal RNA", at positions 355 to 794 of the family's 1533-position model. The record is from RNAcentral.